Molecule: ribosomal RNA, 579 nt
Filed under: Triticum aestivum (bread wheat)
Lineage: Eukaryota; Viridiplantae; Streptophyta; Magnoliopsida; Poales; Poaceae
Description: partial small subunit ribosomal RNA
Source: RNAcentral
AUUUCUUCACAACCUGCACAUGAAUCAUUUAGGCGAAAAUAUUUUAUUCCUGUUGUUGAUCAGGCUAUCAGUUCACUUACAACAAGAUUUGAGCAAUAUGAAUCAUUCCAAAAGAACUUUGGUUUUUUAUUUACUUCUGAUGCACUAAAAUCAUUGGAUGAGAAGAGCUUAAAAUAUUCUUGUAGUGUUCUUGAGGCUGCACUAAAGAGUGGGGGGAAAUCAGACAUUAAUGGUAGUGAAUUAUAUGUUGAGCUAAAUUUACUUAAAAGUUUCAUUCCAAAUGAUAAUAUGGGGCCGGUUGAUAUCUUGAAAUUUCUUAAACGGCUAGAUUGUUUCCCUAAUGCAACUAUUGCAUAUAGAAUUUUGUUAACUAUUCCAGUGACCGUCGCAUCAGCUGAGAGAAGUUUCUCCAAAUUGAAAUUAUUGAAGUCCUAUCUACGUUCAACAAUGACACAAGAAAGGCUCAGUGGGUUGGCUACUAUAGCAAUUGAAAAUGAUAUACUGGAGGGGGUUGCUUAUGAAGAUCUAAUUGAAGAUUUUGUAUCAAGAAAUGCUCAAAGGAUGGCACACUUUGGCUAA